GAGUUUGAUCGUGGCUCAGGAUGAACGCUAGCGGCAGGCCUAAUACAUGCAAGUCGAACGGUAAAUAGUUCAGCAAUGGACUAUGAGAGUGACGCACGGGUGCGUAACACGUAUGCAACCUACCUUACUAGGAGUAUAGCUCGGGGAAACGUACGAAUUAACACUUCAUAGUAUGAUUGAAUGGCAUCAUUUGAUUAUUAAAUCUGCGGAGGUAAAGGAUGGGCAUGCGUCUGAUUAGCUAGUUGGUAGUGUAACGGACUACCAAGGCGAUGAUCAGUAGGGGAACUGAGAGGUUGACUCCCCCACACUGGCACUGAGAUACGGGCCAGACUCCUACGGGAGGCAGCAGUAGGGAAUAUUGGUCAAUGGGUGAGAGCCUGAACCAGCCAUGCCGCGUGCAGGAAGACGGCCUUCUGGGUUGUAAACUGCUUUUGUCGAGGGGAAUAAAAUAUCCUUGCGGAGGGUAAUUGAAGGUACCUGACGAAUAAGCCACGGCUAACUACGUGCCA
This 509-nucleotide ribosomal RNA is filed under the name uncultured Bacteroidota bacterium. Its description in RNAcentral is "bacterial SSU rRNA". It matches the Rfam family "Bacterial small subunit ribosomal RNA", at positions 9 to 510 of the family's 1533-position model. Lineage: Bacteria; Pseudomonadati; Bacteroidota. The record is from RNAcentral.